GGGCGUUUAGCUCAGUUGGCUAGAGCGCUUCCCUUACAAGGAAGAGGUCACUGGUUCGAGUCCGGUAACGCCCA
This 74-nucleotide transfer RNA is filed under the name Planctomycetes bacterium SM23_25. RNAcentral's name for it is "tRNA-Val". It matches the Rfam family "tRNA". Rfam says of the family: Transfer RNA (tRNA) molecules are approximately 80 nucleotides in length. Their secondary structure includes four short double-helical elements and three loops (D, anti-codon, and T loops). Further hydrogen bonds mediate the characteristic L-shaped molecular structure. tRNAs have two regions of fundamental functional importance: the anti-codon, which is responsible for specific mRNA codon recognition, and the 3' end, to which the tRNAs corresponding amino acid is attached (by aminoacyl-tRNA synthetases). tRNAs cope with the degeneracy of the genetic code in two manners: having more than one tRNA (with a specific anti-codon) for a particular amino acid; and 'wobble' base-pairing, i.e. permitting non-standard base-pairing at the 3rd anti-codon position. Lineage: Bacteria; Pseudomonadati; Planctomycetota. RNAcentral also lists the same sequence under 2 other names. The record is from RNAcentral.